GUCUUCGUAGCUCAGUUGGUCGAGAGCGUCCGACUGUUACUGUACAGUCGCCAUCGGGAGGUCGACAGUUCGAACCUGUCCGAGGACG
This 88-nucleotide transfer RNA is filed under the name Rhodotorula diobovata. RNAcentral's name for it is "Rhodosporidium diobovatum tRNA". It matches the Rfam family "tRNA". From Rfam's summary of the family: Transfer RNA (tRNA) molecules are approximately 80 nucleotides in length. Their secondary structure includes four short double-helical elements and three loops (D, anti-codon, and T loops). Lineage: Eukaryota; Fungi; Basidiomycota; Microbotryomycetes; Sporidiobolales; Sporidiobolaceae. The record is from Rfam by way of RNAcentral.